This 482-nucleotide ribosomal RNA is filed under the name uncultured bacterium. RNAcentral's name for it is "partial 16S ribosomal RNA". It matches the Rfam family "Bacterial small subunit ribosomal RNA", at positions 30 to 507 of the family's 1533-position model. The record is from RNAcentral.
AUUGAACGCUGGCGGCAUGCCUUACACAUGCAAGUCGAACGGUAACGGGCCUUCGGGUGCCGCCGAGUGGCGAACGGGUGAGUAAUACAUCGGAACGUGCCCGAUCGUGGGGGAUAACGAGGCGAAAGCUUUGCUAAUACCGCAUACGAUCUACGGAUGACAGCAGGGGACCGCAAGGCCUUGCGCGGACGGAGCGGCCGCUGGCAGAUUAGGUAGUUGGUGGGAUAAAAGCUUACCAAGCCGACGAUCUGUAGCUGGUCUGAGAGGAUGAUCAGCCACACUGGGACUGAGACACGGCCCAGACUCCUACGGGAGGCAGCAGUGGGGAAUUUUGGACAAUGGGCGCAAGCCUGAUCCAGCCAUGCCGCGUGCAGGAUGAAGGCCUUCGGGUUGUAAACUGCUUUUGUACGGAACGAAAAGCCUUCUUUUAAUACAGGAGGGUCAUGACGGUACCGUAAGAAUAAGCACCGGCUAACUACGUG